GUGAGGAAUUUUCCGCAAUGGGCGAAAGCCUGACGGAGCAAUGCCGCGUGAAGGAUGAAGGCCUAUGGGUUGUAAACUUCUUUUCUCAGAAAAGAAUUAUGACGGUAUCUGAGGAAUAAGCAUCGGCUAACUCUGUGCCAGCAGCCGCGGUAAGACAGAGGAUGCAAGCGUUAUCCGGAAUGAUUGGGCGUAAAGCGUCUGUAGGUUGUUUAAAAAGUAUUCUGUCAAAGAUUAGGGCUUAACCCUAGAUAGGCAGAAUAAACUUUUAAGCUAGAGUUUGGUAGAGGGAGAGGGAAUUCCCGGUGGAGCGGUGAAAUGCGUAGAUAUCGGGAGGAACACCAAAGGCGAAGGCACUCUGCUGGGCCAAUACUAACACUGAGAGACGAAAGCGAGGGGAGCAAAUAGGAUUAGAUACCCUAGUAGUCC
This 426-nucleotide ribosomal RNA is filed under the name uncultured bacterium. RNAcentral's name for it is "partial 16S ribosomal RNA". It matches the Rfam family "Bacterial small subunit ribosomal RNA", at positions 354 to 796 of the family's 1533-position model. The record is from RNAcentral.